UUUUUUUUUUUUUUUUUUUUUUUUUUGAGAAGGAGUUUAGCUGCAACACCCAGGCUGGAGUGCAAUAGUGUGAUAUAGGCUCACUGCAACCUCCGCUUCCCAGGUUCAAGUGAUUUUCCUGCCUCAGCCUCCCAAGCAGCUGGGACUACAGGCGCCCACCAACAUGCCGGGCCUCGAACUCCUGACCUCAAGUCAUCCACCCACCUCAGCCUCCCAAAGUGCUGGGAUUACAGGCGUGAGCCACUGCACCUGGCCAGCAAGUUGUUUCUCAUCUGCCAUCCUGCAGACUCAAGAAUUUAUGUUAGUUACUGAUUUCUUUAACUCUUUGGGGCACAGUUUCAGUAGCCACACAUUUUUUUUAAGGCUCCUAGAAAAUUAAAAUAGCACAAAAAUUGUGGUAUAUUUUACAUAUCUGCAUUUAGAUAACAUCUUCAACACUCAACACAAGACCACAGCUGGAUAUUUUACUGGUGAUAACUUCAAAAAUCUAAAACUUAAGACACAAGACCACAGCUGGAUAUUUUACUGGUGAUAACUUCAAAAAUCUAAAACUUAAGACCUUUAAUAAACAUGAAACCAUACUAAAUGGCUCUACUUUGUACUCUUUUCGUUUUUUGUAGAGACAGAGCCUUGCUAUGUUGCCCAGGUUUGUCUUGAACUCCUGGGCUCAUGCGAUCCUCCCACCUUGUCCUCCCAAACUGCUGGGAUUAAAGAUGUGAGCCACUGCACCUGGCUCCUACUUGGUAUUUUAUGGUAACUCUUCAGCCAUCUCUCCCCAAUUAGGACCCCUUUUUAAGAGGAAGGGAAGCUGACGGUCAGCAGGAAGGACUAGAGGCCCCUCACCUUGGUCAGUGAAUGGGAGGGACACACUUCCACUACCUUGUCUCCUGGGUUUUAUUUUUAUAAAAUAAUUUUUAACUUUUAAAAAUUUCACAAAUCUGUAACAGCCAAAUCUUCUGGGUUUUAAACAUGGUCACAGAUGUUUUUUGCCACUCAUCCCAUCAAGAAGUGGGGCGUCUGUCCCUCUGCCUUGUAUCUGGGCGGCUUGUGACUGCUACCAAUGAAAUACAAUGAAAUACAGAUGCGGUGUGGCCUCCAGGGUGAGGUCAUAAAAGGCCUUGAAACCUCUAUCUUGUUUGCUGGGAGAACUUGCACGUGGAGCCGGUGUAAGAAGUCUAGUUACCCUGAGAACAUCAUGCUGGAGUGGCUGCACAUAGCUGUCUGGUGGAGAGUCCAGAGGUGCUUUUGCUUCUUGUAAAAUAGGGGAAAAAAGUCAAACAAAUAGACACUGCCAUUGAUUAGUUGUGGAUGGUGGUCAUAUAGGUAUUUGUUAGGUUUUGUGUAUUUGAACUGAGGCAGAAUAGGGUCUGGAGGCAGGGA
Molecule: long non-coding RNA, 1380 nt
Filed under: Macaca fascicularis (crab-eating macaque)
Lineage: Eukaryota; Metazoa; Chordata; Mammalia; Primates; Cercopithecidae
Description: lncRNA (ENSMFAG00000060466.1)
Source: RNAcentral